Molecule: ribosomal RNA, 700 nt
Filed under: uncultured bacterium
Lineage: Bacteria
Description: bacterial SSU rRNA
Rfam family: Bacterial small subunit ribosomal RNA
Source: RNAcentral
AGAGUUUGAUCAUGGCUCAGAACGAACGCUGGCGGCAUGCCUAACACAUGCAAGUCGAACGAGACCUUCGGGUCUAGUGGCGCACGGGUGCGUAACGCGUGGGAAUCUGCCCUUGGGUUCGGGAUAACAGUUGGAAACGACUGCUAAUACCGGAUGAUGACUUCGGUCCAAAGAUUUAUCGCCCAGGGAUGAGCCCGCGUAGGAUUAGCUAGUUGGUGAGGUAAAGGCUCACCAAGGCGACGAUCCUUAGCUGGUCUGAGAGGAUGAUCAGCCACACUGGGACUGAGACACGGCCCAGACUCCUACGGGAGGCAGCAGUGGGGAAUAUUGGACAAUGGGCGAAAGCCUGAUCCAGCAAUGCCGCGUGAGUGAUGAAGGCCUUAGGGUUGUAAAGCUCUUUUACCCGGGAUGAUAAUGACAGUACCGGGAGAAUAAGCCCCGGCUAACUCCGUGCCAGCAGCCGCGGUAAUACGGAGGGGGCUAGCGUUGUUCGGAAUUACUGGGCGUAAAGCGCGCGUAGGCGGCUUUGUAAGUUAGAGGUGAAAGCCCGGAGCUCAACUCCGGAACUGCCUUUAAGACUGCAUCGCUAGAAUUGUGGAGAGGUGAGUGGAAUUCCGAGUGUAGAGGUGAAAUUCGUAGAUAUUCGGAAGAACACCAGUGGCGAAGGCGACUCACUGGACACAUAUUGACGCUGAGGUGC